This 58-nucleotide microRNA precursor is filed under the name Scyliorhinus torazame (cloudy catshark). RNAcentral's name for it is "Sto-Mir-10-P2d_pre stem-loop". Lineage: Eukaryota; Metazoa; Chordata; Chondrichthyes; Carcharhiniformes; Scyliorhinidae. The record is from RNAcentral.
AACCCGUAGAUCCGAACUUGUGUUUUACAUAUCCCACAAGCUCAUGUCUAUAGGUCUG